RNAcentral lists this ribosomal RNA (907 nucleotides) under uncultured bacterium. Its description in RNAcentral is "bacterial SSU rRNA". It matches the Rfam family "Bacterial small subunit ribosomal RNA", at positions 8 to 932 of the family's 1533-position model. The record is from RNAcentral.
AGAGUUUGAUCAUGGCUCAGAACGAACGCUGGCGGUAUGCUUAACACAUGCAAGUCGAACGUGAAAACCUCUUCGGGGGUGAGUAAAGUGGCGCACGGGUGAGUAAAACAUAGAUAACCUGCCUUUUAGCUUGGGAUAACUUCCUGAAAGGGGAGCUAAGACCAGAUAAAAUAAGGAAGCUAGUGCUACCUUAUUGAAAGAUUUAUCACUAAAAGAUGGGUCUGUGUGGCAUUAGUUUGUUGGUGGGGUAAUGGCCUACCAAGACUACGAUGCCUAGCGGGUCUGAGAGGAUGAUCCGCCACACUGGAACUGAGACACGGUCCAGACUCCUGCGGGAGGCAGCAGUGGGGAAUCUUGCGCAAUGGGCGCAAGCUUGACGCAGCAAUACCGCGUGAGUGAAGAAGGCCUUCGGGUCGUAAAGCUCUUUAUGUAAGCGAAGAUAAUGACAUUAGCUUACGAAUAAGCACCGGCUAACUCCGUGCCAGCAGCCGCGGUAAUACGGAGGGUGCGAGCGUUGUUCGGAAUUACUGGGCGUAAAGGGCAUGUAGGCGGUUUAAAAAGCCAAGGGUGAAAUCCCAGAGCUCAACUCUGGAACUGCUUUUGGAACUGUUAGACUAGAGAUAGUCAGAGGCAAGUGGAAUUCCUGGUGUAGAAGUGAAAUUCGUAGAUAUCAGGAGGAACACCAGCGGCGAAGGCGGCUUGCUGGGGCUAUUCUGACGCUGAGAUGCGAAAGCGUANGUAGCAAACAGGAUUAGAUACCCUGGUAGUCUACGCCCUAAACAAUGAGUGCCAGCUGUAUGUGGUUUCGACACCACAUGUGGUGCAGCUAACGCAAUGAGCACUCCGCCUGGGAAGUAUGGUCGCAAGGCUAAAACUCAAAGGAAUUGACGGGGACCCGCACAAGCGG